Molecule: microRNA precursor, 76 nt
Filed under: Myotis davidii
Lineage: Eukaryota; Metazoa; Chordata; Mammalia; Chiroptera; Vespertilionidae
Description: mir-9229 microRNA precursor family
Rfam family: mir-9229 microRNA precursor family
Source: Rfam by way of RNAcentral
GAGACACCCAUAUGGAACAGGACUUGUUUCAGUGGGGCUUUGAUGCUCACUGAGUCAGCUCCUUGAGUGUGUUGCU